ACGGCUCAGUAACACGUAGGUAACCUACCCUUCGGACGGGCACAACCCCGGGAAACUGGGGCUAAUUCCCGAUAGGUACCCCCUUCUGGAAUGUGGGGAUAUCCAAAGCUCCGGCGCCGAAGGAUGGGCCUGCGGCCGAUUAGGUUGUUGGCGGGGUAACAGCCCACCAAGCCGACGAUCGGUACGGGCAGUGAGAGCUGUAGCCCGGAGAUGGGGACUGAGACAAGGCCCCAGGCCCUACGGGGCGCAGCAGGCGCGAAACCUUCACAAUGCACGAAAGUGUGAUGAGGGUACUCCGAGUGCGCAUACAUUGUAUGUGCUUUUCUGCAGCGUAAAUAGUUGCAGGAAUAAGGGCUGGGCAAGACCGGUGCCAGCCGCCGCGGUAACACCGGCAGCCCUAGUGGUGGCCGCUUUUAUUGGGCCUAAAGCGUCCGUAGCCGGACAGGCGAGUCUUUGGGUAAAUCCUACGUCUUAAGCGUGGGAAUUCUAAAGAUACUACCUGUCUUGAGGCCGGGAGAGGCUGGAGGUACUCCUGGGGUAGGGGUAAAAUCCUAUAAUCCUGGGGGGACCACCGAUGGCGAAGGCAUCCAGCUGGAACGGGCCUGACGGUGAGGGACGAAACCCAGGGGAGCGAGCCGGAUUAGAUACCCGGGUAGUCCUGGGCGUAAAUGAUGUGGGCUUGGUGUGAGCGCAUCGACGAGGUGCGCUUGUGCCGUAGGGAAGCCGUUAAGCCCACCGCCUGGGGAGUACGGUCGCAAGGCUGAAACUUAAAGGAAUUGGCGGGGGGAG
This 789-nucleotide ribosomal RNA is filed under the name uncultured euryarchaeote. Its description in RNAcentral is "bacterial SSU rRNA". It matches the Rfam family "Archaeal small subunit ribosomal RNA", at positions 85 to 877 of the family's 1478-position model. The record is from RNAcentral. Lineage: Archaea; Methanobacteriati; Methanobacteriota.